This 253-nucleotide ribosomal RNA is filed under the name uncultured bacterium. Its description in RNAcentral is "partial 16S ribosomal RNA". It matches the Rfam family "Bacterial small subunit ribosomal RNA", at positions 524 to 776 of the family's 1533-position model. The record is from RNAcentral.
GACGAACCGUGCGAACGUUGUUCGGAUUCACUGGGCUUAAAGGGCGCGUAGGCGGCUUGCCAAGUCAGGGGUGAAAUCUUCCGGCUCAACCGGAAAAGUGCCUUUGAUACUGGCGAGCUAGAGGGAGGUAGGGGAGCGUGGAACUUCUGGUGGAGCGGUGAAAUGCGUAGAUAUCAGAAGGAACGCCGGUGGCGAAAGCGACGCACUGGAUCUCUACUGACGCUGAGGCGCGAAAGCUAGGGGAGCGAACGGG